AUACGUAGGGGGCGAGCGUUAUCCGGAUUUAUUGGGCGUAAAGCGUAUGUAGGCGGUUUAUUAAGUUUAAGAUUAAAGCCCGAGGCUUAACCUCGGUAUGUUUUAAAUACUGGUAGACUAGAGUGUGGUAGAGGCAAAUGGAAUUCCUAAUGUAGCGGUAAAAUGCGUAGAUAUUAGGAGGAACAUCAGUGGCGAAGGCGAUUUGCUGGGCCAUUACUGACGCUGAGAUACGAAAGCGUGGGGAGCAAAUAGGAUUAGAUACCCUAGUAGUCCACGCUGUAAACGAUGAGCACUAAGUGUCGGGUUACCGGUGCUGAAGUUAACACAUUAAGUGCUCCGCCUGAGUAGUACGGUCGCAAGACUGAA
This 366-nucleotide ribosomal RNA is filed under the name uncultured bacterium. Its description in RNAcentral is "bacterial SSU rRNA". It matches the Rfam family "Bacterial small subunit ribosomal RNA", at positions 523 to 898 of the family's 1533-position model. The record is from RNAcentral.